Long non-coding RNA from Megalobrama amblycephala (Wuchang bream), 1525 nucleotides. RefSeq lists it as uncharacterized. The record is from RefSeq and is a predicted model, not a curated record. NCBI's taxonomy places the organism in Eukaryota, Metazoa, Chordata, Actinopteri, Cypriniformes, Xenocyprididae. The transcript has 3 exons.
UGUGUCGAAACUGAAAGUAAAGAAGAGCCUUAGGAAAUCUACAUUCGCCUUCAGAAGUCUUGAAACAGACAUAAAUAUCACAUGACGCUUGUGUCUUCACUCGUGCCCAGAUAAAGAAGAUGGGGACGGAGUUUACAUUGGACGACACAUUUAUGUGCACAGAGGGUGAUGUUGCUGCAGGAGAGCACGUGCCUCACAAAACUGGACAUGAAAAGAGGUGGAUGCGAGCACAGUUGGAGCAGGUGCUGUGCUGCUGCAGGAAGAUGAGGAAGGUAUUGACCAUCCCAUUUGUUUCUUUUCUAAGAAAUUUAACCGACAUCAGUGUAACUAUUCUACAAUUGAAAAAGAGGCUUUGGCUUUGUUGUUGUCGUUGCAGCAUUUUGAAGUAUAUGUUGGGUCUACUUCGUAUCCUGUGGUUGUGUAUACGGAUCACAAUCCUCUUACGUUCCUGUGUCGAAUGUAUAACCAAAAUCAAAGGCUAAUGCGAUGGGCUUUAGUGGUUCAAGACUAUAAUAUUGAGAUUCGGCACAAGAAGGGAGUGGAAAAUGUGGUCGCGGAUGCUCUUUCUAGGGUGUAACUCCCGUGUGGGGUAGUUUUGUGUACAAACAUUAUUUAAUUUAUAAUGUUUGAUUUUAAGGGUGGGGGUGUUACGUGUUCAGAUUGUUGCCCCCUCCCUUUUUGUUAUUGGUUGUUUUUUCUCCCCUUUGUUAUUGGUUUCUUGUGUUUCCGCUCUCCGCUGUCUCUCUGUUGUAGGUACCGUGAUUGGUUACGUAAUCUGUCCAUCAUGAUGAAGCAGUAUCCAAUCAUUAACGGGGACAGGAUAAAGGACGCCGUGGAGAACGGCGUGGAGAACGGAAGAGGAGGGAGCUUAGAGUGUUCGUUGGCUGUGCCAUUUGCUCAGUGCUGUGUUUAGUGGUGGUUCGCUUGCUUGAACGCCUUCUUGAGUGUUUGAUACGGAGAAUGUCUUAUCUGAUCUGAAAACUUCAUCAGCCCGGAGAUCAAGAAAAGGAAAGCAUGUCACGUGACUUACAUCUUACAAACACGCAGGAGUGAUUCUGUAUAGACACAUCAGGGAAGGAGCGGGUGCAACCUUGUGUAAGUUUUAUUUAAUAGUUAGUGAAGCUUUAGUUAUGGCGGGCACGCCGAAGAUUUCUUUAUUUUCUGGUUUUGUUUUUUAGUUAGUUUAGAGGGCGGGGGAUCAGUUAGUGAUUGUUUUGUUUUGUUCUUUUCGUUUGUUUGGCGCCGCUCAUUUUCUUUUUCUUUACUUUGUAUAUAGCUGUAAAUAGGGAUUUUUGGUUGGUGUUUCCAUUUGUGUAAACUUAUAUUCCGUUGUAAAUAAAGCGAACCACUUUUUGUUACAUUGUUUGUCCUUGUGUCACUCACCCACAGUACUUCCCAGAGACCAAGUUUAUAGGUUGUUUAAAUAUUUAUUAUGUGCGUCUCCCCCAUACCUCUACGCCACCAGGGGACGUAACAUUGGUUAUGAGUCGUUAACGUUUGUUUGUAUGUUGUGCCUCGUGUUUCU